Molecule: ribosomal RNA, 561 nt
Filed under: uncultured bacterium
Lineage: Bacteria
Description: partial 16S ribosomal RNA
Rfam family: Bacterial small subunit ribosomal RNA
Source: RNAcentral
UGGGGAAUAUUGGACAAUGGGCGCAAGCCUGAUCCAGCCAUGCCGCGUGAGUGAUGAAGGCCUUAGGGUUGUAAAGCUCUUUCGGCGGGGACGAUAAUGACGGUACCCGCAGAAGAAGCCCCGGCUAACUUCGUGCCAGCAGCCGCGGUAAUACGAAGGGGGCUAGCGUUGCUCGGAAUCACUGGGCGUAAAGGGCGCGUAGGCGGACAUUUAAGUCGGGGGUGAAAGCCCAGGGCUCAACCCUGGAAUUGCCUCCGAUACUGGGUGUCUCGAGACCGGAAGAGGUGAGUGGAACUGCGAGUGUAGAGGUGAAAUUCGUAGAUAUUCGCAAGAACACCAGUGGCGAAGGCGGCUCACUGGUCCGGUUCUGACGCUGAGGCGCGAAAAGCGUGGGGAGCAAACAGGAUUAGAUACCCUGGUAGUCCACGCCGUAAACGAUGGAUGCUAGCCGUUGGCAGGCUUGCCUGUCAGUGGCGCAGCUAACGCUUUAAGCAUCCCGCCUGGGGAGUACGGCCGCAAGGUUAAAACUCAAAUGAAUUGACGGGGUCAUAGCUGUUUCCU